AACGCACAUUGCACUCUCUGGUAUUCCGGAGAGUAUGCUUGUUUGAGUAUCAGUAAACACCUCAAAUCUCUUUUUUUUAUUAAAAAGAGAAUUGGACUUGAGCAAUCCCAACUUUUUCUUUCGAGAAAGGCGGGUUGCUUGAAAUGCAGGUGCAGCUGGACAUUCUUCUGAGCUAAAAGCAUAUUUAUUUAGUCCCGUCAAACGGAUUAUUACUUUUGCUCUAGCUAAUAUAAAGGUCGAAUGUACUAUAUGCUGACUGAUGCAGGAUUACCAAGUUUUUUUUAAAAACUUGUAAACUCGAUCUCAAAUCAAGUAAGACUACCCGCUGAACUUAA
RNAcentral lists this unclassified non-coding RNA (335 nucleotides) under uncultured fungus. RNAcentral's name for it is "sequence contains ITS2". Lineage: Eukaryota; Fungi. The record is from RNAcentral.